This 4968-nucleotide long non-coding RNA is filed under the name Lactuca sativa (garden lettuce). RNAcentral's name for it is "long non-coding RNA (LSAT_LNC003356)". Lineage: Eukaryota; Viridiplantae; Streptophyta; Magnoliopsida; Asterales; Asteraceae. The record is from RNAcentral.
UAUGGAUUUAUUUCUAGACUUAAACUUAGAAUGCUAAGCGAUGAUUGUGAGGUGUGAGCACUAGCUUAUUUUAGGAAUGAUGCCUAAAUUGCUUUUAUGUGCUAAAUGCUUUGUGCAUGAUAUGUUGUUAAUUGUUCGGAUCUAUGGUCUGUUGCCGACCGGAUCUGGAAACCUUAUGUGUUUAGGAUUCUAAACAUACGACUACGAUAUUAGAACUAGCAUGUAAACGUUUCGGAAUGAUAAGGAUGAUUUAAACGUCAAUCCUAAGUAAAGGUCUAGAUUCACCUUAUUCGGUGUAUAGAUCAAGAUGGCAAGGACCCGUAGUAGAAACGUGAAUGCAAAUGAGAAUAGGAACCAACCCCCGCUGGUUCAGCAAAUACCUAUUGUAGAAGAAGUUGCACCUGAGCCAGUCAACAUGGCUGGAGUUCAAGCCAUGAUUCGGGCUAUGCUAGCUGAACAAAGGGAAGAAAUGAGGAGGAUGUCGAAUAGGGACGAACCUACUAUGCCCACUGAGCAACCCGAGCUGAUUCCCGAGCAAUCGGAGGAAGGGAACUACAGCCGCCAAGUGAGUCAAGUGGGGACUCAAGAUGGCCCGGAGAGGAGAAACGACAAGGAUGGGCGAAUGUACAAGAAUUUAUUGGGUGCGAAACCACCAAGUCUCUCAGGAAGCCCAAAGCCUGUUGAGAUUAUAGAUUGGAUCUCCGAGAUGGAAAUGGUGUUUGAGAGCUGCGACUGUAGCGAGAAACAGAAGACCGUCUUCGCCGUAAGACAACUGAAAACUGGAGUCUUGAGCUGUUGGAAGCUAUUGGCAGAUACGAUGCCACGAGGAGAAGCCUUAAGGAUGUCAUGGGAAGAGUUCUUGGAACAGUUAAAAAUGCAAUAUUGCUCGAAGAUAGAUCUAAUAGACCUAAACAACGAGUUUCAGAACCUGAAGAAAGGGAAGAUGAGUGUUGAUGAGUAUGCCAUCGCAUUCACUGAGAGGAUGAAGCUAUUCCGUUACUUGGUGCCUACUGAAUUCUCCAAGAUUGAUAGGUUUGCUAACGGACUGCUCACUGACUUUGGCCCAAUGGUCAAAAUGGCAACUACCUUGAAAACAACUGUUAGGCUAGCUAAGAACGUUGAGGCGCAGAUAAGAGAAAGGGGUCUAGAAAAAGAUAAGGCAGGAGAGAAGCGGAAGUUUGAAGGAUCUUCAAGGUCCAACAAGGAAAGAAAUUCUCAAAGCUUGGAGGAGGAGAUGGAGGUGAAUCAAGAUGGUGUGAUAAAUGCAAGAAGAAGCAUUGUGGGAAGUGCAACGAAGAAGUGACUUAUUACAAGUGUGGGAGGACUGGUCACUAUUCCAAGGACUGCACACAUAAUGAUAAAGUAUGCUACGGAUGUGGAGGCAAGGGGCACAUGUCCAGAGACUGCCCAAGGAAAAAUAAAGCAGCAAGACCAUAAACGUCACCAAGGCCAAGGGCAUUUCACAUGAUCCUCGACGAAGCAGAAAACCAUGCGAGGAAUCAAGGAUGAGGACUUUAUACCCGAAGAUCAAGUUAUGCAGUAGUCAUAGUAUCGUAUGAUGUAGCCCAUUAGAGGCAUAGUCCAGGGUGAACUUGAACACCUAUGUAAUUGUUUCAAGAAAUAGUAAAAUCUUCGUGUUUUUAUCUGGUGUGUUAAAUUGUUAUGUGAUUUUCUNCUGCGAGACAAUACUUGGGACGAGUAUGAGUAGGUGUGAAUGGUAGUAGAGGCCUAUACUACCAGAAGCAUAGGACUCACACUUGGAUCAGGGAAAGUCACAAGGUUACCAAGAAGCUAGUAAUUGAUUUCGUUUUAUUCAAGUAUGUCGUUACCAUUGUUUCGGUAAUGACUAAGAAAAAUUGUUGUUAUCCUGACCCUAGUGGUUAUAUCACAUUGAGUCCGACUAUGAUGAGUAGGUUACAUGGUUCGGAGAACCAAGUUUGAUGCAGCGUCCGACUUAAACCAAACAGCUGAAAUCAAAGCGAUCAAUAGAAGUAUCGCGCUCGUUGUUAAAGAAGUUGGUAGUGUGAUUAUAUCACAUUAGAGUAUGAAGGAAGGCAUAGUCUGUUUUGAAAUUUGACACUAAGAGAUCUGAGUCUAAACGUGCAUCACAUGAUGAUAGGUCAUAAUUUGGAGUCUAACCUGAGGUAGAGAGCAGGUGCACGAUUAAGAACUGCUUACAGUCAAUAAGUCUAAAAGAUAGACUUGAAGAAAUAUAGAAGUUAUAAUUAUUAACUAGGAUGAAGAGAUGAAGUAUGGAGUCAUUAUACGAGCCUUUUUUCGUUGAUGAUCCCGGGACGUAAUCGUCCUAAGGGGGAGAUAAUUGUAACGCCCGCAGAUCCGGGCUAGCCAAAUUAGAGGCAAUAGGGGUCGAAAAUGACUUUUCGACAAAAGAUUAUUUAGAGUAAAUAAUCUUAACCAAGUUGUAGAAUAUGUCACAAGGUUUCCGUACAUAUAAAGAACGCCGAAAUCCGAGUUAUAACGAAGAAGUUAUGACCCGUCGAAGUUUCGCGACGAAACCGACACGACACGGGACGCGUAAAUAGUGAAUUUACGAUAGAGCGAGAUUUAGCCUUAGCAAUCUAAACGAAAGUCGUAGAAUAUGUUAAACUAAGAGCNUCGAUAAAAAGAACGCCCAAAUUUGACUUCGUAUGAGGAAGUUAUGAUUUUUCGAAGUUUCGGAUUAGCGGUGUAUAGCCCGAAAUUCGAAUAUUAGAUCGAGUGAUUUUUAGCCGACAUGACCUAAAAUAGAAUCGAAGAUCUCGAUAAGAGUAGCGUAAUGAGAGAAAGAUGGGCGAAAACGGACGUCGGAUGAAGAAGUUAAGAAGAUUUAACGGACCAAUCCUGUCCCGACCUGUUAGUAAUAUAAAAUUUAAAAAUCAAGUCAAAAUUAGCCGACGAAGUCUAAACGAAAGUUGUAGAAUACGUUCCCUCCUUCGAGUGGAUAUAAAGAACGUCAAAAACGGAGCUCGUACGCGAAAGUUACGAAUUUUUAAAGUUGGAAAGUGAACUUGCGAAGCUGAUGCAUGAAAUGAUGACGUGGCCGAACUCCCAGCCAUCGGAUGAAAUCGCUUCGGAUGGUGACACCUGGUGCGAGGGUCACGCCCAGUGUAGCGAAGAGACGCCUAGUGUCCGGAGUACGCCCCGCGUACUUCGUUCUUAUCCGUCCGAUGGAGUGCAAGACAGCUGGUCCGAGGUGGCAUGCUUAUCCGAGCACUACGCCCAACGUAACAAAGGACUAUGCCCAGCGUACUCCAACAGGCCUCAUUGGGUAUAAAAGGGGGCGAGGCAGCCUUCAUUUUCCACACUAUUCUCCUUCUCUCUCUAAAAUACUUUCUCUCUCUAGCUCCCCAGCCACCCCUAAGCCCUAGGAAAAAUACCUAGCACCUAAAGGAAGCCCCGAGGCUCCCGGAGUCCCGAGAAAAAGGGUCUUUUGGUUUCGAAACGAUGCUCCAAAUAAAGUUCUGGUUUUCGAUAAAAUUCACUGUAAGUGAGCUACGCUUACGCAAUUUUUAAUAUAGCUUCCAAAUAAUUAUAGGAAUGUUAUUAGGUCCUUAAAAUAAUUAUUUGGGCUAUUAUACUGAGUUAUAUUGAGUGUUAUUUAACACUUAUAUAAUAAAAAUAAUAGCUAAGCUAUUAAUUUGUCGCGGUUAUCGUUAGACUAAACCCUAGUGGUAUUGAUACUAGGUUUUAUCAAAGGAAAUCGUUUUGAGAGUAUCAAAGCGAUGUCCGAGUGCUGAGUCACCACCUUUCAAGUGAGUGCAUAGUCCCUUUCAUCUUACACAUAGAUAUGAAGUAUUUUAUAUAAACUACGUGCUAUGUGUGCAUUUUAUCUGAAUACUUGCUGUCUAUGCUGGAUGAACGUUUUAUACAUGUUUUAAAGGAUUUAAACCGUAUACGUAUGUUAUAUAUACGAAUAUGUUGGGCAUGACAUGGGUAGAUGAAUGAUGAGAGAUAAAAGAUUAUGUGAGUAUACAUUGGAAGCUAUGGACUUAGUGCCUAAUAAACAUCGGCAGCUAUGGACUUAGUGCCUAUGGGACAAACACCGGUAGCUAUGGAUUUAGUACCUGUUAGGAAUUGGUAGCUAUGGACUUAGUACCUAUUAGAUAAACACUGGUAGCUAUGGCUUUAGUACCCGAUGAGUAGACUAUAGCAGCUAUGGAAUUAGUGCUUUACGAACGAACAUUGGCAGCUAUGGAUUUAGUGUCAGUCCUAUAACCCUGGAAGUAAGGGACUUCGGAAUAAACGAAUGCAGGAUAGAUGACUCUUAGGUUAAAUCCUUAAGAGUAAAGAAGAUAAUGGGGAUGGGUAAUUGGGUUGAUUGUUUGAUUGUUUAAACAUAAUAAUUAUAUUAUUGUGGGUUGAAAACCCUAUGUACUCACCAGGUUUCCCAACCUGACCCACUCAGUUUAUUUAUAUCACAGGUGUUGAUAUGAAGUCACAUUACACUGAGAGAUUUAAAGAGAUGUAGAUCACUAGUGUAAAUAAAUGUAAGUUCUGUUUAUGCUUAUGUUUCUGUAUUAACGAUGACAUCCCAAACGUUUUAAAAUGAAAUAAAUACGUUUCUUCGAAAAUGUUUUAAUAACGUAUUUACCAUGUUUUUCUGGGAACAAAUUCCGCAACAUUUUUAUAAAAUGAAGUACUCUGAUUUUUAUAAAGCAUAAACAACAUCGGUCUUUUCUGGCCGUGAAAAUGGGGAUGUCACAGUUGGUAUCAGAGCAUUAGUUUAAGCGAACUAGGAAUAUGGAUUUAUUUCUAGACUUAAACUUAGAAUGCUAAGCGAUGAUUGUGAGGUGUGAGCACUAGCUUAUUUUAGGAAUGAUGCCUAAAUUGCUUUUAUGUGCUAAAUGAUUUGUUAUGCUAUAGUUUGAUCGGAUCUAUGGUCUGUUGCCGACCGGAUCUGGAAACCUUAUGUGUUUAGGAUUCUAAACAUACGACUACGAUAUUAGAACUAGCAUGUAAACGUUUCGG